CCCAUCAUCAAACUGACUGGACCAGCCACCAACAGAGGGAGCUGUUCAACAACCCAUCAUCCCUUACAGACUGGACCAGCCACCAACAGAGGGAGCUGUUCAACAACCCAUCAUCCCUUACAGACUGGACCAGCCACCAACAGAGGGAGCUGUUCAACAACCCAUCAUCCCAUACAGACUGGACCAGCCACUAACAGUGAGCUCUGUUCUACAGCCCAUCAUCCCAUACAGACUGGACCAGUCACCAACAGAGGGAGCUGUUCUACAGCCCAUCAUCAAACUGACUGGACCAGUCACCAACAGAGGGAGCUGUUCUACAGCCCAUCAUCAAACUGACUGGACCAGCCACCAACAGAGGGAGCUGUUCUACAGCCCAUCAUCAAACUGACUGGACCAGUCACCAACAGAGGGAGCUGUUCAAC
Long non-coding RNA from Oncorhynchus tshawytscha (Chinook salmon), 422 nucleotides. The record is from Ensembl. NCBI's taxonomy places the organism in Eukaryota, Metazoa, Chordata, Actinopteri, Salmoniformes, Salmonidae.